Molecule: ribosomal RNA, 457 nt
Filed under: uncultured bacterium
Lineage: Bacteria
Description: partial 16S ribosomal RNA
Rfam family: Bacterial small subunit ribosomal RNA
Source: RNAcentral
AUAAACGCUGGCGGCGUGCAUGAGACAUGCAAGUCGAACGAAGGAUCGGGCCUGCUCGAUCCUUAGUGGCGGACGGCUGAGUAACGCGUAGGUGACCUACCCCGAAGUGGGGAAUAACUGCCCGAAAGGGUGGCUAAUACCGCAUGUGGUCGCACGUUCAUUCGUGCGAGUAAAGCCGCAAGGCGCUUCGGGAGGGGCCUGCGUCCGAUUAGCUCGUUGGUGGGGUAAUGGCUUACCAAGGCGACGAUCGGUAGGUGGUCUGAGAGGACGAUCACCCAGACUGGGACUGAGACACGGCCCAGACUCCUACGGGAGGCAGCAGUCGGGAAUUUUGCUCAAUGGGGGAAACCCUGAAGCAGCAACGCCGCGUGAGGGAUGAAGGCCUUCGGGUUGUAAACCUCUUUUGUCAGGGACGAUGAUGACGGUACCUGGCGAAUAAGCCACGGCUAACUACGCG